Molecule: small nuclear RNA, 326 nt
Filed under: Erinaceus europaeus (western European hedgehog)
Lineage: Eukaryota; Metazoa; Chordata; Mammalia; Eulipotyphla; Erinaceidae
Description: 7SK RNA
Rfam family: 7SK RNA
About the family: 7SK was discovered as an abundant small nuclear RNA in the mid-70s but a possible function has only recently been suggested. Two independent studies have found that 7SK RNA binds the CDK9/cyclin T complex (known as elongation factor P-TEFb).
Source: Rfam by way of RNAcentral
GGAUGUGAGGGCGAUCUGGCUGCGACAUCUGUCACCCCAUUGAUCGCCAGGGUUGAUUCGGCUGAUCUGGCUGGCUAGGCGGGUGUCCCUUUCCUCCCUCACCGCUCCAUGUGCGUCCCUCCCGAAGCUGCACGCUGGGUGGAAGAGGACGGCUUUCCCCAAUAGAGACAGACGGGUCUUCGGUCGAGGGUAUACGAGUAGCUGCGCUCCCCUGCUAGAACCUCCAAACAAGCUCUCAAUCAGAGACAGAGAAAGAGAGAUAUAGAGGGAUACAGAGGGGAAGAUGCAUAGUAAGACCAGAGCACGGCUCAGCUCUGGCUUAUGGU